Molecule: long non-coding RNA, 1329 nt
Filed under: Pogona vitticeps (central bearded dragon)
Lineage: Eukaryota; Metazoa; Chordata; Lepidosauria; Squamata; Agamidae
Description: lncRNA (ENSPVIG00000020203.1)
Source: RNAcentral
CCCAGACAUUUUGCUCCCUGAAGCAAAAGAUAAGAUGGUACUUCUUCCAUUCUGUGCAGAAAAAUGAGAGCAGAGUCCUUCAGUCAUCAUGUUGCAAUCUCUAGCAGAGCGAACUAGCUUACUUACUCAGCAACACUGACAAGGGAGUAAGAUCCUCCAUGGUACCUGGGAGAAGAAAGUUGGAGAUGAGACAAUCUACGUCGUAUGUGGUUCAUAUGCCUCUGUUUUUUCCGAGAGACAGAGAAGGCCAGACGGCUCAGAAGCUGCCAGAGAAUAACCACUGCUGCUCCCUUCCACCUGCCACUUGGAACAGUUGCCUCACUCUUCCUAAUGGUAGGGCCAGCUAAAUAUUAACUGUGUGCUGAAUGAGUCCCAUCCUCCCAGGCCAUUUGUGAAAUGCACUUUUCAACUCUAGCAUCAGCUGCCUUGGUCUUGUUUGAAACAAAGCAUACUAGAAGAAGACAAUGUUGACAGCAUUUGAUUUUAUGAGAGUUGGUAGGCUGGGAAGUACUAAACUCCCUGGGGAUGAUAAAGAGAAGAGGCAGAGAAACGGAUGCUUUCAGAUCCUGGGACAUCAUCAAAACCAGUUUGGACGUAGACAGCAGCUGGGUGGAGCAAAGAACCGAGCAAAAGAGAUGACUCGUAGACAGCAGCUGGGUGGAGCAAAGAACUGAACAAAAGAGAUGAUGCACUUGUCGGAGUUGGGCUCGGUAGACGUCAGACAGAAAUAACACAGAGAGAACGAGGGAUAGGCGGGGUGAACUGCUGAAGUCGCUGAACUCUCGUGCUCUUUUUGACACCACCACCUCCUGCCCAAGGCUCCUCAAACAAAGAGAUCCUCUCUACAAGAAAUGAGGAACACUUUGAAGCUUCUCUUUGUGAUGAUCUUCCUCUGCUGGCAGAUGUUGUGUUUUGAAGGAGAGGCCGCUGGCAUUCCUACACUGGAAGAAGAGUCUUCCCAGCCAGAAGACCUGCCCUUGAAGAAUGAAGCCCCACCAAGGAGAGCCGUCCAACACUUUGCUGAUUUGAUGAAGAGGGUAAAACUCCACCAGUUCUAUGGCCUGAUGGGGAAACGAGCCAGAGCAUGACAGAGAACUGGGCAAGCAGCCAGCUCCUUCACGCAUCAGUAUCUUAGAGGGAUUCAUCAUUCUAUACCACUUCUGCUGCUGCUUUACAGCCCCAGCGCAUCUUCUGCUGCCUGAUUCUUCCCGCCAGCUCUUCCCCACAAAGGACAAAUGCGUUGAGUGUUUUACAACCCCACUCCUUGUUUUCUGUUGUUAGGCACUUGCCUAAAAUAAAUGUGUUUGCCAAGCUACGGCCUAUAUGCUU